CAAAGGGUAGUUUAGAUAAAAUAUUAAUUUUGGGGAUUAAUGAUAAGAAAUUUUCUUUCCUUUGA
Molecule: transfer RNA, 65 nt
Filed under: Decma fissa
Lineage: Eukaryota; Metazoa; Arthropoda; Insecta; Orthoptera; Tettigoniidae
Description: tRNA-Pro
Source: RNAcentral